RNAcentral lists this ribosomal RNA (387 nucleotides) under Desmodesmus sp. RNAcentral describes it as "SSU rRNA". It matches the Rfam family "Eukaryotic small subunit ribosomal RNA", at positions 634 to 1027 of the family's 1831-position model. Lineage: Eukaryota; Viridiplantae; Chlorophyta; Chlorophyceae; Sphaeropleales; Scenedesmaceae. The record is from RNAcentral.
UUGGAUUUCGGGUGGGUCUCAGCGGUCCGCCUAUGGUGAGUACUGCUGUGGCCUUCCUUACUGUCGGGGACCUGCUUCUGGGCUUCAUUGUCCGGGACAGGGAUUCGGCAUGGUUACUUUGAGUAAAUUAGAGUGUUCAAAGCAGGCUUACGCCGUGAAUACUUUAGCAUGGAAUAACAUGAUAGGACUCUGCCCUAUUCUGUUGGCCUGUAGGAGUGGAGUAAUGAUUAAGAGGAACAGUCGGGGGCAUUCGUAUUUCAUUGUCAGAGGUGAAAUUCUUGGAUUUAUGAAAGACGAACUACUGCGAAAGCAUUUGCCAAGGAUGUUUUCAUUAAUCAAGAACGAAAGUUGGGGGCUCGAAGACGAUUAGAUACCNNUCGUAGUCAU